This 408-nucleotide ribosomal RNA is filed under the name uncultured bacterium. RNAcentral's name for it is "bacterial SSU rRNA". It matches the Rfam family "Bacterial small subunit ribosomal RNA", at positions 355 to 775 of the family's 1533-position model. The record is from RNAcentral.
UAGGGAAUCUUGCACAAUGGGCGAAAGCCUGAUGCAGCGACGCCGCGUGGGGGAAGAAGGCCCUCGGGUUGUAAACCCCUUUCGGCAGGGAAGAAGCGAAAGUGACGGUACCUGCAGAAGAAGCCCCGGCCAACUACGUGCCAGCAGCCGCGGUAAGACGUAGGGGGCGAGCGUUGUCCGGAUUUAUUGGGCGUAAAGAGCGCGUAGGCGGCUCGUUAAGUCGGGUGUGAAAACCCGGGGCUCAACCCCGGGCCUGCAUUCGAUACUGGCGGGCUAGAGGCAGACAGGGGAGAGUGGAAUUCCCGGUGUAGCGGUGAAAUGCGCAGAUAUCGGGAGGAACACCGGUGGCGAAGGCGGCUCUCUGGGUCUGUCCUGACGCUCAGGCGCGAAAGCUAGGGGAGCAAACAG